Molecule: ribosomal RNA, 558 nt
Filed under: uncultured bacterium
Lineage: Bacteria
Description: partial 16S ribosomal RNA
Rfam family: Bacterial small subunit ribosomal RNA
Source: RNAcentral
UGGGGAAUAUUGGACAAUGGGGGCAACCCUGAUCCAGCCAUGCCGCGUGAGUGAUGAAGGCCUUCGGGUUGUAAAGCUCUUUUGGCGGGGACGAUGAUGACGGUACCCGCAGAAUAAGCCCCGGCUAACUUCGUGCCAGCAGCCGCGGUAAGACGAAGGGGGCUAGCGUUGUUCGGAAUUACUGGGCGUAAAGCGAGUGUAGGCGGUUGCCGUAGUCAGGUGUGAAAGCCUUGAGCUCAACUCAAGAAAUGCACUUGAUACUGGGUGACUAGAGGACCGGAGAGGAUAGUGGAAUUCCCAGUGUAGUGGUGAAAUACGUGGAGAUUGGGAAGAACACCAGUGGCGAAGGCGGCUAUCUGGACGGUUACUGACGCUAAGACUCGAAAGCGUGGGGAGCAAACAGGAUUAGAUACCCUGGUAGUCCACGCCGUAAACGAUGGGUGCUAGACGUUGGCGAGCUUGCUCGUCAGUGUCGCAGCUAACGCGUUAAGCACCCCGCCUGGGGAGUACGGCCGCAAGGUUGAAACUUAAAGGAAUUGACGGGGGUCAUAGCUGUUU